This 3426-nucleotide long non-coding RNA is filed under the name Mytilus galloprovincialis (Mediterranean mussel). Lineage: Eukaryota; Metazoa; Mollusca; Bivalvia; Mytilida; Mytilidae. The record is from RNAcentral.
CUGCCUUUUUCUGAGCGGAUAUUCUUUAUCUCAGGUACAUGUUAUGAAGUAUGUUUGUAACACUUGGAAAGAUAUCUUUGAUAUGUAAUUGAUUUGAUUCUAACAUAUGGAAUCUCAUUUUGGCAUUUUUUUUAAAUAUGUGUGUUAGUGUGCAAGUCAUAAAUCAAAGAUUUUAAAUUUUACUUUCGUUUUCAUUUCGCAUUUAUUGAUCAGGUAUAUAUAAGGUUAAUCAUCAAAUAUUCUUAAAAAAAAAGGCCGUUUACCUCACAAAUUGUAUCUUCGAGUUAAGACUAAACUUAGCAUCUAGAAAAUAUUUAAGUCUUGAAAUUGAGAGAUUCAUAUACAUGAUAUAAACAUUAAUGAUUAUAUAUAAAUAAAAUAUUUUAAACUGAUUGAACUCUUUGUAGCUCCUCUUGUUUUCAUUUCUUUUCUAAAAUAUGCGGAACAUAGACGCAAAACGCCACACGCAAAUAUAUUAACAUGAUUGGUAGAUCGGUGAUUGGUUUAUUAACCUCUCAAUGGCAAUAUUUCAAGCAUGGUCAGGACAAAAACAGAUUUACAACAUAGUAGCAUACUAGGUUCUGUAAGGUCAACAGACCGCCUUAAAGUGUACCUAGGCAUUUAUACUGUCACUGGAGGAUUGAAGGAGCAAUUAACUUGCUUGUCCUACAACAAUGCCACCUACAACUCUUCAGAGAGUGGUCUUAAAGGUUCUCAACGGGCAGAGAAUGUGACACUCAGUAAACGGAUAUAUCUUGUAUUCAGAUUGGACGUAACAACGUUUUUAAAGGGGCACUAGCUGCCAAAUUCAUGUUCAUCGAUUUGACUCAAAGUCUCAUAUUUCAUUUAAAACAAUGUAAAAAGAAAUUCCGAACUAUCAAAAAUAUCAAAUAAACAAUUUACAGGACAUGGUCUCAAUAAGAUGUUGCUUCGUUUCGUGUGAAAUUUAGCCAAGACGCCAUCUAAUUAACUAUCGAGUUGACCUUCUAUGACCAUAUAAGCGAUGAAACAAAAACACAUAAAUAGAUUAAGCAACUCGUGCAAUUGGAUUUUUAAAGGUCUGUUAAAUUUUGUAUUAUAAAUUUAAUCAAUGUUUAUUAGUUUAAUUUGACAAAAUUGAACCAUUUAAGCUGAUAAAAACAAAUUAUUAUUUCACUUUGUCACUUUCAUUAAUGAUUAAACAAAAAAAUCAUACUUUUAAUUUUUUAUCUAUCUCGUAGCUAGUGCCCCUAUAAACAUCCCUUAUAGCCAAGGUUUACGACAUUUCAGCCAGAAUCUUACUGGUAAACACGCAAAGGGAGGAGGAACAGUUCCAAGAAUGAUCAAAUUUCGAUACCUCUGUAUACUUUCGCAUCAUACUCUUUUACUUUUUAUUUAUCUAUUGCUCUCUGUCAUCUACAGGUACAUGCAUGUAUGCUCAUCUUUGAUCCGAUAUCAGUUCUAAUACGGAUUAACGCCUAUGUGCAUUAUAAAUAUUAGCAUCUGAAGUAUAGGACUAGUACAGGUUAUGGAAACUCAAAUGUUACAGAUUUAUAAACAUAGCAUUGUUACUUUUAUUUUUAAACAUUGUCUACAUUCGGUUUUUGUUACUGUUGAAAGUAUUAAAAAUAUUUUCUUUAUUUUAGUAUGUCGAGUAAAUUGACUGAAUGUGGAGUAUGUGAAUACCGCAACAUCAACAAACCAUCAGUGGUCUGGUGUUCAGAAUGUGACGAAGGUCUUUGUGAGGAGUGUAAAGAGCAUCAUGCGGCUUCAAAAGGAUCAAGAAACCAUAGUGUUGUUCCAGUCUCCCAGUACCAGCAACUACCUUAUGGUAUACUAGAAAUUACUCAAACAUGUCCAAAACACAGUGAAAAGUAUCAAAUAUUUUGUAAGAAGCAUGAUUGUCCAUGUUGUAGACGAUGCGUUACAGAAACCCAUAACGGUUGCCAAGAGAUGGAUGUAAUAGAUGACGUAAUCAAAAAUGUAAAAUCAUCAAAUGCAUUUUUAGAGAUGGAACAAACGCUGACAGAACUUUCCGGAAAUCUGCAGAAAAUAAGAAAAGAUCGACAAGAAAACAUAAAAAGUCUCAUGGAAAGUAGGGCAAAUAUAGAAAAAGACGUUUAACAGACACGAAUGUCAAUAAAUAAGCAUCUAGAUAAACUGCAUGAAAGUCUGAUAAAAGAAUUGUAUGCCGCUGAGAAAAAUGAGAGCACAAAAAUCGAAAACAUAAUAUCAUCCAUACAAGAGAACGAAAGAAAAAUUUCAGAAAGCCAAACUACUUUAGAUAAAAUAAAACAACAUGCUUCAGACCUCCAGACAUUCUUAGCUUUGAAAUAUAUCCAACGAGAUGUCACAAACAAUGAACAAUUUCUUGAAACUUUAAUAAAAGAAGAGAAACUAAACAAGGCAUUCAUGUCUUGGAAAAUCGAAAAAGAUGUUGAGAAGCUAACUACCACAAUCAAGAAGAUGGGAACCAUUCAAUUAGAUACAAGGUCAGCUGAUAUAGUAUUAACAAACAGAAAGAAACAACAAGCACAAAUAAUGCUGCCUACCACACCUGUUCCUACCAUUGAUGAUGUCAGACUUACUUUAAAACAAUUUGUGAACACAAACGGAGGUGAUGUCACUGAUUGCUCUUUACUUCCUGAUGGCAGAAUGAUUUUUGCCUGCAGUACGAAUAACAAAAUUCAUGUCCUAAAAAUCGACGGAACUUUGGAUUUUACAUUACAGACAGUAUUGCCAUUAUCUCAUAUCCUCUUUAUAGAUGAAAGUCAAAAACUUGUCGUAUCAACUGGACGUUUGAAAUCAUAUUUUACGAUUAUCGGCAUGAGAAAUGGAAACAGUAAAACAUCUAUGAAAGUUGGUGGGUCAGAUGUUUAUGGAAUAGCUCACAAAGAUGGAAAAUUGUUUUAUAAUGCAGGUAGAAGUGGACUUCGUGUUUUUAGUUUAGAUAGCCACUCUAAAACGCUGUUGGUUAACGUUCCCUUAUUAUGUCAUAGCAGCAUUGCAAUGUGGUCAGAACAACUAUAUUUUAUGUACAAUGAUGAUUCAUUAACAUGCUGUGAUCUUCAAGGAGGAGUGAAAUGGAAAUCAGAACUUAAAGCAUUUCUUAGAGAGCCACGAGGUAUUACAGUGGACAAUUACGGACGUGUUUAGGUAUCGGGCUAUGGAUCUAACAAUGUUGUUGUAAUUUCCCCAGAUGGAAACAAACAUCGAUUACUGUUGUCAGAGAAAGAUGGUCUUAAAAGACCACAGUCUUUGUGUUUCGAUCGAAAAAAUAACAAGUUACUAGUUGCAAACCAACGGAAUGACGCUUUUCUUUAUGACGUUUCAAAAUAAAUUGAUACAAUAUCAAUGAGAUGAGCUUAUCUGUGAGAAUAAAGUGUGUUAUGAAGAACGUUGGAUUGUUGUGUUAGUUCCCAAGUUAGUGUUAUAAAUAUAUAUCUU